AACAUUUCUUUUAGAUUUGAUUAAAAGUAAAGUCUGCCCACUGUUUAGUAUGAAGGGCCGCGGUAUUUUGACCGUGCAAAGGUAGCAUAAUCAUUAGUCUCUUAAUUGGGGAAUGGUAUGAAUGGCUAAAUGAUUUUUUUCUUUUAUUAUUAUUUAUUUAUAAUUUUGAUUUUAAGUGAAAAUACUUAGAUGAUUUAAUUAGACGAUAAGACCCUAUAGAAUUUUAUUUUCUUUUUAUAUCAAUAUAAAAUUUAAGUUUAAAUGGGGCAUUUUAUGAAUAUACAUAAUUUCUUUUUAAAAUAUUUUAAAAUAUCUUAAAUUAAAGAUUGUAAAAAAAUUACCUUAGGGAUAACAGCGUAAUUUUUUUUAAGAGUUCAUAUCGACAAAUUAGAUUGCGACCUCGAUGUUGAAUUAAAAUACCUAUAUGGAGCAGAAUUUAUAUAAGGUAGUCUGUUCGACUAUAAAACUUUUACAUGAUUUGAGU
Molecule: ribosomal RNA, 484 nt
Filed under: Tomocerus sp. 3 FZ-2014
Lineage: Eukaryota; Metazoa; Arthropoda; Collembola; Entomobryomorpha; Tomoceridae
Description: partial 16S ribosomal RNA
Rfam family: Bacterial large subunit ribosomal RNA
Source: RNAcentral